Molecule: long non-coding RNA, 233 nt
Organism: Sinocyclocheilus rhinocerous
Lineage: Eukaryota; Metazoa; Chordata; Actinopteri; Cypriniformes; Cyprinidae
Exons: 3
Source: RefSeq, a predicted model, not a curated record
GGGCGGGCCACCACCAACACCCUUAACUCCUGUUCUUGGAUCGUGUGUGUCAUCGUUCUUGGACCUGAACAAGGGGAGGCCAGUCAUUGAGGGAAUAGAGGGGGAACAGCUUCUGAAACCAUACCACCUAAUAGAAGGAGUGACUUCAUAAAAGUGAUGGCAAAUUCUGGGUGCUUGUUGGAGCCACCAGAUGUCCUGUUGAACCCUGAUGAAGACCCAUCUACAAUUGAGGA